AACAGAUCAAUCUAGCAAAUGAUAGGUUUAGCCAACUUCAACAAAUGAUUAUGACCCAACAGUAAUCUCUCACCAGGCUAGAAGCAUAAAUAGAUCAAUUAACUGAACCUACCAUGAGGAGAGAACUAGGUUAAUUGCCAAACGAACUAAUACUAAAUUUUAAAAAUGACACACCCAUCCACCAAUUACUUGGACCUAGUCAUCAAUCUAAUGUCUCACCUA
This 222-nucleotide long non-coding RNA is filed under the name Elaeis guineensis (African oil palm). Its description in RNAcentral is "long non-coding RNA (EGUI_LNC045004)". Lineage: Eukaryota; Viridiplantae; Streptophyta; Magnoliopsida; Arecales; Arecaceae. The record is from RNAcentral.